This 286-nucleotide long non-coding RNA is filed under the name Trifolium pratense (red clover). RNAcentral describes it as "long non-coding RNA (TPRA_LNC008539)". Lineage: Eukaryota; Viridiplantae; Streptophyta; Magnoliopsida; Fabales; Fabaceae. The record is from RNAcentral.
UCAUGCUGCAUGCAAUAAGGAAAAGGGGAUUUUACAUGCAACAAAAGAUAUAUUAAAAUUGUUCCUGUGCAACUUGACCAAACUAAUUUGACAGCAGGAUGCCUGAAAUGAGAAUGUAUUCAUGUUAAAGGAUCAUACCUUAAUGCAAUUUAACACAAAUCAUCUGCCUGUGCAACUAUUUCAGUCUGUUGACAGAUACAAACCCUUAUGGACAAAGCUAUGGACCUUCUACCAUUAUUGCACUACAAUUCCUUCACUUUUAUUCUCUCAAUAAUCUUGCCAUUUC